Molecule: ribosomal RNA, 497 nt
Filed under: uncultured bacterium
Lineage: Bacteria
Description: partial 16S ribosomal RNA
Rfam family: Bacterial small subunit ribosomal RNA
Source: RNAcentral
GAUGAACGCUGGCGGCGUGCCUAAUACAUGCAAGUCGAGCGAACAGACGAGGAGCUUGCUCCUCUGACGUUAGCGGCGGACGGGUGAGUAACACGUGGAUAACCUACCUAUAAGACUGGGAUAACUUCGGGAAACCGGAGCUAAUACCGGAUAAUAUAUUGAACCGCAUGGUUCAAUAGUGAAAGACGGUUUUGCUGUCACUUCUAGAUGGAUCCGCGCCGCAUUAGCUAGUUGGUAAGGUAACGGCUUACCAAGGCAACGAUGCGUAGCCGACCUGAGAGGGGGAUCGGCCACACUGGAACUGAGACACGGUCCAGACUCCUACGGGAGGCAGCAGUAGGGAAUCUUCCGCAGUGGGCGAAAGCCUGACGGAGCAACGCCGCGUGAGUGAUGAAGGUCUUCGGAGCGUAAAACUCUGUUAUUAGGGAAGAACAAAUGUGUAAGUAACUAUGCACGUCUUGACGGUACCUAAUCAGAAAGCCACGGCUAACUACGUG